This 1506-nucleotide ribosomal RNA is filed under the name metagenome. RNAcentral describes it as "bacterial SSU rRNA". It matches the Rfam family "Bacterial small subunit ribosomal RNA". The record is from RNAcentral.
AGAGUUUGAUCCUGGCUCAGGACGAACGCUGGCGGCGUGCCUAAUACAUGCAAGUAGAACGCUGAAGAGAGGAGCUUGCUCUUCUUGGAUGAGUUGCGAACGGGUGAGUAACGCGUAGGUAACCUGCCUUGUAGCGGGGGAUAACUAUUGGAAACGAUAGCUAAUACCGCAUAACAAUGGAUGACACAUGUCAUUUAUUUGAAAGGGGCAAUUGUUCCACUACAAGAUGGACCUGCGUUGUAUUAGCUAGUAGGUGAGGUAAUGGCUCACCUAGGCGACUAUACAUAGCCGACCUGAGAGGGUGAUCGGCCACACUGGGACUGAGACACGGCCCAGACUCCUACGGGAGGCAGCAGUAGGGAAUCUUCGGCAAUGGGGGCAACCCUGACCGAGCAACGCCGCGUGAGUGAAGAAGGUUUUCGGAUCGUAAAGCUCUGUUGUAAGUCAAGAACGGGUGUGAGAGUGGAAAGUUCACACUGUGACGGUAGCUUACCAGAAAGGGACGGCUAACUACGUGCCAGCAGCCGCGGUAAUACGUAGGUCCCGAGCGUUGUCCGGAUUUAUUGGGCGUAAAGCGAGCGCAGGCGGUUUGAUAAGUCUGAAGUUAAAGGCUGUGGCUCAACCAUAGUUCGCUUUGGAAACUGUCAAACUUGAGUGCAGAAGGGGAGAGUGGAAUUCCAUGUGUAGCGGUGAAAUGCGUAGAUAUAUGGAGGAACACCGGUGGCGAAAGCGGCUCUCUGGUCUGUAACUGACGCUGAGGCUCGAAAGCGUGGGGAGCGAACAGGAUUAGAUACCCUGGUAGUCCACGCCGUAAACGAUGAGUGCUAGGUGUUGGAUCCUUUCCGGGAUUCAGUGCCGCAGCUAACGCAUUAAGCACUCCGCCUGGGGAGUACGACCGCAAGGUUGAAACUCAAAGGAAUUGACGGGGGCCCGCACAAGCGGUGGAGCAUGUGGUUUAAUUCGAAGCAACGCGAAGAACCUUACCAGGUCUUGACAUCCCGAUGCUAUUUCUAGAGAUAGAAAGUUACUUCGGUACAUCGGUGACAGGUGGUGCAUGGUUGUCGUCAGCUCGUGUCGUGAGAUGUUGGGUUAAGUCCCGCAACGAGCGCAACCCCUAUUGUUAGUUGCCAUCAUUCAGUUGGGCACUCUAGCGAGACUGCCGGUAAUAAACCGGAGGAAGGUGGGGAUGACGUCAAAUCAUCAUGCCCCUUAUGACCUGGGCUACACACGUGCUACAAUGGUUGGUACAACGAGUUGCGAGUCGGUGACGGCGAGCUAAUCUCUUAAAGCCAAUCUCAGUUCGGAUUGUAGGCUGCAACUCGCCUACAUGAAGUCGGGAUCGCUAGUAAUCGCGGAUCAGCACGCCGCGGUGAAUACGUUCCCGGGCCUUGUACACACCGCCCGUCACACCACGAGAGUUUGUAACACCCGAAGUCGGUGAGGUAACCUUUUGGAGCCAGCCGCCUAAGGUGGGACAGAUGAUUGGGGUGAAGUCGUAACAAGGUA